This 417-nucleotide ribosomal RNA is filed under the name uncultured bacterium. RNAcentral describes it as "bacterial SSU rRNA". It matches the Rfam family "Bacterial small subunit ribosomal RNA", at positions 391 to 826 of the family's 1533-position model. The record is from RNAcentral.
GCCCUGCCGCGUGAGUGAUGAAGGCCUUNGGGUUGUAAAGCUCUUUUGUGCGGGAAGAUAAUGACGGUACCGCAAGAAUAAGCCCCGGCUAACUUCGUGCCAGCAGCCGCGGUAAUACNAAGGGGGCUAGCGUUGCUCGGAAUCACUGGGCGUAAAGNGUGCGUAGGCGGGUCUUUAAGUCAGGGGUGAAAUCCUGGAGCUCAACUCCAGAACUGCCUUUGAUACUGAAUAUCUUGAGUUCGGGAGAGGUGAGUGGAACUGCGAGUGUAGAGGUGAAAUUCGUAGAUAUUCGCAAGAACACCAGUGGCGAAGGCGGCUCACUGGCCCGAUACUGACGCUGAGGCACGAAAGCGUGGGGAGCAACAGGAUUAGAUACCCUGGUAGUCCACGCCGUAAACGAUGAAUGCCAGCCGUUCG